RNAcentral lists this ribosomal RNA (417 nucleotides) under uncultured eukaryote. RNAcentral's name for it is "SSU rRNA". It matches the Rfam family "Eukaryotic small subunit ribosomal RNA", at positions 592 to 1013 of the family's 1831-position model. The record is from RNAcentral.
CAAUAGCGUAUAUUAAAGUUGUUGCGGUUAAAAAAGCUCGUAGUUGGAUUUCUGCUUAGAGUGACCGGUCCGCCUUCGGGUUGGUAUCAGGCUCGCUCUGAGCAUUCUCCUGGGGAGCAUGGCCGCGCCUCGUUGUGCGGCCUGUUGCCUGGGUCUUUUACUUUGAGGAAAUUAGAGUGUUUCACGCAGGCGCUUGCCUUGAAUACAUUAGCAUGGAAUAAUACGAUAGGACUUUGGUUCUUUCUUGUUGGUUUCUGGAGCCGAGGUAAUGAUUAAUAGGGAUAGUCGGGGGCAUUCGUACUUAACUGUCAGAGGUGAAAUUCUUGGAUUUGUUAAAGACGAACUAAUGCGAAAGCAUUUGCCAAGGAUGUUUUCAUUGAUCAAGAACGAAAGUUAGGGGAUCGAAGACGAUCAGAU